This 1470-nucleotide ribosomal RNA is filed under the name metagenome. RNAcentral describes it as "bacterial SSU rRNA". It matches the Rfam family "Bacterial small subunit ribosomal RNA". The record is from RNAcentral.
AGAGUUUGAUCAUGGCUCAGGACGAACGCUGGCGGCACGCUUAACACAUGCAAGUCGAACGAGAGAAGAGGAGCUUGCUUUUCUGAUCUAGUGGCGGACGGGUGAGUAACACGUGAGCAAUCUGCCUUUCAGAGGGGGAUACCGAUUGGAAACGAUCGUUAAUACCGCAUAACAUAAUUGAACCGCAUGAUUUGAUUAUCAAAGAUUUAUCGCUGAAAGAUGAGCUCGCGUCUGAUUAGCUAGUUGGUAAGGUAACGGCUUACCAAGGCGACGAUCAGUAGCCGGACUGAGAGGUUGAUCGGCCACAUUGGGACUGAGACACGGCCCAGACUCCUACGGGAGGCAGCAGUGGGGAAUAUUGCACAAUGGAGGAAACUCUGAUGCAGCGAUGCCGCGUGAGGGAAGAAGGUUUUAGGAUUGUAAACCUCUGUCUUCAGGGACGAAAAAAGACGGUACCUGAGGAGGAAGCUCCGGCUAACUACGUGCCAGCAGCCGCGGUAAUACGUAGGGAGCGAGCGUUGUCCGGAAUUACUGGGUGUAAAGGGAGCGUAGGCGGGAUCGCAAGUCAGAUGUGAAAACUAUGGGCUUAACCCAUAAACUGCAUUUGAAACUGUGGUUCUUGAGUGAAGUAGAGGUAAGCGGAAUUCCUAGUGUAGCGGUGAAAUGCGUAGAUAUUAGGAGGAACAUCAGUGGCGAAGGCGGCUUACUGGGCUUUAACUGACGCUGAGGCUCGAAAGCGUGGGGAGCAAACAGGAUUAGAUACCCUGGUAGUCCACGCCGUAAACGAUGAUUACUAGGUGUGGGGGGACUGACCCCUUCCGUGCCGCAGCAAACGCAAUAAGUAAUCCACCUGGGGAGUACGACCGCAAGGUUGAAACUCAAAGGAAUUGACGGGGGCCCGCACAAGCAGUGGAGUAUGUGGAUUAAUUCGAAGCAACGCGAAGAACCUUACCAGGUCUUGACAUCGUAUGCAUAGCUCAGAGAUGAGUGAAAUCUCUUCGGAGACAUAUAGACAGGUGGUGCAUGGUUGUCGUCAGCUCGUGUCGUGAGAUGUUGGGUUAAGUCCCGCAACGAGCGCAACCCUUACUGUUAGUUGCUACGCAAGAGCACUCUAGCAGGACUGCCGUUGACAAAACGGAGGAAGGUGGGGAUGACGUCAAAUCAUCAUGCCCCCUAUGACCUGGGCCUCACACGUACUAUAAUGGCUGUCAACAGAGGGAAGCAAAGCCGCGAGGUGGAGCGAACCCCUAAAAGCAGUCUUAGUUCGGAUUGUAGGCUGCAACCCGCCUACAUGAAGUCGGAAUUGCUAGUAAUCGCAGAUCAGCAUGCUGCGGUGAAUACGUUCCCGGGCCUUGUACACACCGCCCGUCACGCCAUGGGAGUCGGUAACACCCGAAGCCUGUAGUCUAACCGCAAGGAGGACGCAGUCGAAGGUGGGAUUGAUGACUGGGGUGAAGUCGUAACAAGGUA